CUGAUGCCAGACAAUCACCGCGUGUGUGAAGAAGAGCCUGAGAGGUUGUAAAGCACUUUUAAUCGGGAGGAACACCUGUCAGCGAAUACCUGGCAGUAUGACAUUACCGAUAGAAAAAGCACCGGCUAACUCCGUG
Molecule: ribosomal RNA, 136 nt
Filed under: uncultured Gammaproteobacteria bacterium
Lineage: Bacteria; Pseudomonadati; Pseudomonadota; Gammaproteobacteria
Description: partial 16S ribosomal RNA
Rfam family: Bacterial small subunit ribosomal RNA
Source: RNAcentral